Molecule: long non-coding RNA, 5804 nt
Organism: Mus musculus (house mouse)
Lineage: Eukaryota; Metazoa; Chordata; Mammalia; Rodentia; Muridae
Product: predicted gene, 42094
Exons: 2
Source: RefSeq, a predicted model, not a curated record
UCAUGAGAUGUCCCUUUAGAACACAGUUAAUGACAAAGUGAGGACUCUUGCAAAGAACCCCCGUAGCCAGGGAGCUGGACAUAUGAUGAAACGGCUGGAGCCUUCAUCUCCGCACACUGGCUUGACUUCCAAAGCGGGGGAAGAGGGUGCAGCUUGGACUCAUGCCCUCUAGCCAGUGAUUUAAUAAGCAUGCUCAUGUAAGAAAGCCAACACCUGGGAGGACUGGGUUUAGGGAGCCUGGGGUGCUGGGGGAGUGUAAACGCGGGUGCACUCUGUGAGGCUCUUUCCCUGUACCUUGACUCCGGCUCCUCUGUGUUCUUCUGUAAAGAGCUGACAGGCCCACUGCGUUUCCUUCCCAUAGUCCCCUGAGCCAUUCUAGCCGGUGAGCACACGUGAGGAGGGGCUUGUGGGACUCUUCGCCUUCUUGUUCAGUUGAUCAGAAGCCCAGACGGCCGAUGACCUGGACUUGGAGUCAGUGCCCUAGGUUGAGGUGCGCUUGUGGGACUGAACCCUGCAUCUGUGGGACACGGCGUUAACACCGGGUAGUUGCUGAGUUGAACCGUAGGAAAGGUAACAGGCCCUGCAGAGGACUGCGGAACUUACGAGGCUGUGGAGGAGCGCUCGCACACCUGCCCCUGGGGAGGGUCCUACGGUGAGAACAUGGAGAUCAGACGGCUUUCCUGAGUGAGGGAACAUGGUGGUGUUCUUCCCCUUUCCUGACAAAGGCGGGUGAUUCCCAACACAGCCCGCCCACAGAAUCCUGGCGGCGAGGGGGAUUGCCAUCUGAUACCCAUAUCUCUGGGUAUGUAGGCCUUUGGGGGGGGGGGUUCUCCACCCACAUGCCACCUGUAUGCUCUGAGACAUACCUCUGGAUGGAUGGGGAAGCCUGGGCUACAGUUGGGCUCCACUCUGCUCCCUGGGGAGGAAGGGGUGGGGCUGACUUAGGCAGGUCUACACCCAAAGGCCAGAUUCUCAGCUUGACCGUUCCUGCCCAGGAGGAGCAACCUCAGUGCCUUAACUGCUGUGGCCCAGAGAAGCUAGAAGUCUGCAGAGCAAUGGCAGUGGAUGGAGAGCAGAACUGAUGACCUUGGUGGAAACACCACAAACACAAAGCAUCCUGGUCACAUAGCUACCGCCAGUGUCCCACGAGGCUGAGUGGUCGCACUGCCCUGGGGAGCUGACUCCUUCUAAUCCACUCUGCCUUCCCCCGGGUAGUCUCAAGAAGGUCUCUCUCCUUCUUAAGCCCAGUCUUCCAUUCCUGAUCAGGGUACCCAGCCCUCUCGAGCCUCGAUGUUUGAUGCUGUGGCGAGGCGAUAGGAGGCUGGCAGUAACUGCUUCCAUGUUUGCGCAGGGAAGUGAAACACCUGGAGGCAGCCAUCCCUCACUCUGCCCAUGGCUCCAAAGAAAACGGAGAACCCGGAGCCUGCCCUGCUCCCUGCUAGAUGCAAGGCUUGCCCUCCUCCUCCUGUAACAUCCCUGACUAGCAGUUCCCUCUCACAAUGCGUGACAGAAGGCUGGCGGAGCCACAUCCCGAGUCAGGAUGGCUCUCCUGAGGACAAGGACCAGUGGCGUCCGCUUGCAAGGCUGUCCUGGGGACUCUAGGCAAAGGAAGGGGAUGAGCCUGCUGCUGCUGAUCCAGCUCCUACAAACUCUUGCUUAGCACAAGGCCUGGAAUAACCAGGACAGGCAGAAAACCUCGCCUUCCAAACCCUGCUUCUAAGGAAAGGACCGGGAGCAACAACACAGAGUGAGUCCUGAAGUGGGCUGAGGGGAAGGGGGCAUGGUGGUGAUGUGGGACACUGGCUUAGUCACACCAGCCGAGCAUGGGGGAGAUCGCAUAGCCAACCUCAACCUUGGGCCUCAACCCACCUUUGGACCAAGCAAGAAGGACAAAGCAUGGGACAUUGGAGAACCAGUCAUUCCUGAUUCUUUUCCCUAAAAAUAGGGACAAAAGAAAUCCAUUCCACAAAGGAAACUAAGAACAAUUACAAUGGCCACAGCUCGAAUAAACGAGGCUAAGGAAGGGUCCCCACAAGUGACAACCUCAAAGGGGUGAAUAGAUCGAGAGUUAGACACAGAGAAGGACAGAAAGGAAAAGCAGAGGAAGAAACAAGAAAUGGCAGAGCUGUUGCAAUUAGACUAGGUGCUGAGAUGACAUUUUGAGAGCGGGGCGUGGGCUCUAGGGGAAUGUAAUUAAGUGAACUGCACGCAUUAUUUUAAAUCCUGUUCGCAUUAAUGCUGUAAAUACCCCCCACUUAAUUAAUCAUUAUUGAAUUUGCCAGCAGUGCCCAGGGGCAAGACUUCAACUUAAAGUUUAAUUACAAAUAGGGUGGACCAGAUUUCCUGUCCCUGAGAGCGGCCCACAGGACGAGGCUAGGGGUUGGGGGCAGCUUUUGUGGCAGCCGGGGGUCAGGUACCAUUCCAAACACAGCAGUCACUGUCCAGGGGACGUCCCAGGACACUAGCAGAACCCUGGGUUCCCGGAGGUUGUCCAACAAGCACCAGCAAGCUUGCAAGGUGAGGCGGUUUGAGGGAAAGGCUGUUCUAAACUGUUGGAAAGAAACCUCCAAACCUACCCACUCUUCAGUUCCUCAUGUCCGGAGAAGCCAUGAGCCUGGCUGUUCACAGUCAUACAUGUGACUGCCAUGCCACAUCAUGUGUCUCCCGGCUACCCAGCUCCUGUGCAUGUGUUUAAUUAAUAGCAAUGGUCGACCCUGAAGUAUGGCUUACUUCCUAACUCGUCCACUUCUGUGAGGGUCAAAGUCGAAGUUCCCUUUCUCCUCAUCCUGUUCUACCACGCCCCAGAGCCUCUGGCUUGCUGGAAAUACAAGUUAGACUGAGAUAGUCAACUACAAAACGCACAGAAUUUACUACAGAAUUGCUAUAGGGAGAAGGCCACGACCAAGAGCUCCACAGGAAGGGCCAGGCUCUCAUCACCCCAAAGCCUUAGGCAGGAACCAAAGAGCCAAGUGUCUUGGUCCCUUGUGAUAACCGUGUCACCUGACAGAUGUGACUGCAGGAGGAAACAUCUGUUUUGACACCUGGUUUUAGAAGCAUCACGGAUGGUGUAGUAAAGUCCAGGUGGCCAGAAUGUGGCACAGAGGCCAUACACUUCACAGUGGAGGGUAGGAGGUCAGAAGCAGAAUAUAAGUUGGAACCAGGGGUAGGUUCAGAGGCCUGCCUCCCAGUGACCCCACUUCUACCAGCCAGGCCCCACUUCCUAAAGACUUCACAAAUGUCUAACUCAAGGAGCUAGAGAGAUGGUUCACUGGUUAAGAAGAGCACUGGCUGCUCUUCCAGAGGAUCCAAGUUUGAGUCUCAAUACCCACAUAGCAGCUCACAGUUCCAGGGCCUCUGUCGCCCUCUUCUGGCCCCUUAAGGCACUGCACCCAAGUGGUGCACAUACACACAUGCAGGCACACACUAAUAUGCAUAAAAUAAUAAAUUAUUUUAAAAAAUAGCUCCAUAAGCCAGGGACCAGGAGUUUCACAGUAUAAGCCUAUAUGGGGAUAUUUUGGAUCUGAACUACAGCACUACAGGGGCAUAUUACUAAGUUUUAAACAUUUGAUUCUGCUCGUUCCGACAUGGUGCUAGAAGCCGUUGUAUCACAGAAACCUGGAUCCCCUGGGGGCCUUUUCAACUUUCCUGUGUGCCACAGGCAGAACGCAAGCCCCAGGUCCUUAGUUAGAUGAGGCCAAGAGGAAAGUCAUGGUGUCCCACCUGGGGUAGCUAAAACCAAAUUAGGUAUGGCCUGACCAGAAGAUUAGAUGGAAUAACUAUGUGUUAUCAUUAAUGCAUACUAUUUUCCUUAGAUCAUGGUAAGGCUAAGUUUAAAUGAGAAGCUGUGGUGUGCGUUAGGGGUGUGCUCUGGAGAGGAAGUGCAGGAGAAGGCUUUGUGAUCAAUUGUCAUGUCCCUCCAGUCUAGUUUCCCCUCUCUUGCCCAGCUUCAUGAACACCCAUCACACCAGGUCUUUGAACGGUAAUUCACAAGGCGAAAUUAUUGGUGGCUGUGUAAUGUGGCCCAUUUUCCUGACUCCUUUGAAGGGCGGGCAAUUAGACCAUCAGAUACAAUUACCACCGCCAUGGUUGGUGUCACUUAAAAUAGGCAAGAGAGAGAGAGACCAGGAGGACCAGGCGUUUCCUCCACCAUCAGCUUGGAAUGUUCAAAUGAAACCCACCAAUUAUUUUCCCCCAAUUACUCAUGAAAGGUAAUCUAAGUGGGAGAAAAAUCGGAUGCUGGAUAAGAGAGAUAACAGGUAAUUUACCCUGGGAGAGAGCUGUUCAAGCCACCUGUCUCUGAGGCUCCUAUUGUGAGCUGUUUGAAUGGCACCCAUAGUCCCAUGACAACCAGAUGAGUGGGCUUUAUUCCAAACCAUGGUUGCCUUAUCUUUACAUCUGGGGCAAGGGGUGGGGAGGGACGGGAUUAGCCUUCAUUUUCCAAAUGGCACCAGAGGGCAGAGGAGGAAGGCUCAGUUGUUCAAGUGCUUGUCUGGCACACACAAGCAGUUGAGUUCCAACCCCAGAGUGCAAUUCUUUUCAAAGCUGCAGUCAGUGCGGGAUGCUUCUAUGACCCCCACCUACCACAAUGUAGAGGCAUCUCUCCAUCAAGCAACCUGGAGUCACCAGCUAGGUAUCGCCUGAUUCGAUGCAGUUCUGACCCGGUCUGCCUGGAAGCAGUUUCGUGUCUAGGGAGUCUGUGGGUGAGUUUUAGUAGAGUCUCACUUUAUCUCCCUAGCCAGUAACAGGUUCUCCUGGGGACGCAGGCCUGUAGCAAUAUCUGCUUGGGAGGCUGAGGCAGGAGGCUCACAGAGCUACAGACAAAGACCUGGGGGCGUGGCUUGGUGGUAGAACAUUUGCAAGCAAGCACACGUGGGGCUGCGAGCUUGAUCUUUAUUUUAGUCUGUGGGCCGCGGGCCAGGAGGGGAGUGGCACUUACAAGUAAAUAAUGUGCUGUGAGGAAGGUGCAGAGAAUGUUCCAGAGCUGAGACCCCGCCCACUAGUGCGUGGGCGGGGCAACAAGGCAGACGCUGCUACAUAGCAGGCAAAGGGAGGUGGGGAGCUGGAGGUCGUGGUAUAAAUGGAGCAAUUAAGUCACAAAGCUUCACACAUGGGUUACAGCAGAUAACAAGUGUUUUUCUUGCACAUGCGCAUACAUGUUUUUAAAAAGCCAGAAUGACCGGAAGCCUUAGAGGAAACAAACGGAAAGGAGGGGCCAGAGACGAUGCUGCAGCUGUGAGGUAUUUCCGUUUUCUCAAUCAGCUUUCUUCCAGUAUUAAAAAGAGUUGAAGUCCCAAAUCAAUAGCCUGCCUUGACGACUCACGGACAAGACAGCAAGUUACAACUGUAACCCCGGCUCUAAGGGACCUGACAUCCUCUUCUGGCCUCCGAGGACAACGGCAUGCACGCGGUGCACGUCCAAACGCUCGAACACACAUAAAAUAAAAAUAAGUAAAUCUUUCAAGGAAGCAAACCUUUUGCUGCCGUGCCAUCUCAGUGACGUUCUUGAGUAUUUAGAGAAUAAUCCGUCGCUUGCAUGUAGCUUUCGGUAAACUGCUGAGAGCACUUUUCUUCAUUCAUCUAUGUGUGGACACACUCGUGCAGGCACAUGAGUGUGCCUGGGGAGGUCAGAGAACAGCUUGCAGGGCUCAGUUCUCACCUUCCACCAGGUGGGACCGGGGGGUUGAACUCAUAUUGUCAAGCUUGCCAGCGAGUGCCUUAACCUCUUAAGCUACUUUGCUCGCCCUGGAACAGUUUCAGAUGUACCAAAGAAAUGAAAAAAAAAAAAAAAAAAAAAAAAAAAAAAC